GAUCCUGGCUCAGGAUGAACGCUGGCGGCGUGCCUAACACAUGCAAGUCGAGCGGAGAUAAGUUGAAGCCUAGCGAUUCUUAUCUUAGCGGCGGAUGGGUGAGUAACACGUGGGCAACCUGCCCUGUACUGGGGGAUAACAGCUGGAAACGGCUGUUAAUACCGCAUAUGCGCACGGAGCCGCAUGGCCCUGGGCGGAAAGAUUCAUCGGUACAGGAUGGGCCCGCGCCGGAUUAACUUGUUGGCGGGGUAACGGCCCACCAAGGUGAUGAUCCGUAGCCGACCUGAGAGGGUGACCGGCCACAUUGGGACUGAGACACGGCCCAAACUCCUACGGGAGGCAGCAGUGGGGGAUAUUGCACAAUGGGGGAAACCCUGAAUGCAGCGACGCCGCGUGAAGGAAGAAGUAUUUCGGUAUGUAAACUUCUAUCAGCGGGGAAGAAGAUGACGGUACCCGCACAAGAAGCCCCGGCUAACUACGUGCCAGCCGCGGC
RNAcentral lists this ribosomal RNA (493 nucleotides) under uncultured bacterium. RNAcentral's name for it is "bacterial SSU rRNA". It matches the Rfam family "Bacterial small subunit ribosomal RNA", at positions 15 to 518 of the family's 1533-position model. The record is from RNAcentral.